This 274-nucleotide ribosomal RNA is filed under the name uncultured bacterium. RNAcentral describes it as "partial 16S ribosomal RNA". It matches the Rfam family "Bacterial small subunit ribosomal RNA", at positions 523 to 796 of the family's 1533-position model. The record is from RNAcentral.
AGACAGAGGUGGCAAGCGUUGUUCGGAUUUACUGGGCGUAAAGAGCAUGUAGGCGGUUAGAUUAGUCAGUUGUGAAAUCCUAUGGCUUAACCAUAGAAUUGCAUCUGAUACUGUCUAGCUAGAGUGCAGAAGAGGAGAGUGGAAUUUCCAGUGUAGCGGUGAAAUGCGUAGAUAUUGGAAGGAACACCGGUGGCGAAGGCGGCUCUCUGGUCUGUAACUGACGCUGAGAUGCGAAAGCGUGGGUAGCAAACAGGAUUAGAAACCCCGGUAGUCC